RNAcentral lists this ribosomal RNA (293 nucleotides) under uncultured bacterium. RNAcentral's name for it is "partial 16S ribosomal RNA". It matches the Rfam family "Bacterial small subunit ribosomal RNA", at positions 505 to 796 of the family's 1533-position model. The record is from RNAcentral.
GUGGCCAGCCGCCGCGGUAAUACGGAGGGUGCAAGCGUUGUCCGGAAUCACUGGGCGUAAAGGGUGCGCAGGCGGGGCAGCAAGUCGGAGGUGAAAGCCCAUGGCUCAACCAUGGAAGUGCCUUCGAAACUGUUGCUCUCGAGUCCCGGAGAGGCUGUCGGAAUUCGUGGUGUAGCGGUGAAGUGCGUAGAUAUCACGAGGAACACCAGAGGCGAAAGCGGACAGCUGGACGGGUACUGACGCUCAGGCACGAAAGCGCGGGGAGCAAACAGGAUUAGAAACCCCGGUAGUCC